CAGUCGCCGCGGUAAUACGAAGGGGGCUAGCGUUGCUCGGAAUGACUGGGCGUAAAGGGCGCGUAGGCGGCUUGUACAGUCAGAUGUGAAAUUCCUGGGCUCAACCUGGGGACUGCAUUUGAUACGUACGGGCUUGAGUGGAGAAGAGGGUUGUGGAAUUUCCAGUGUAGAGGUGAAAUUCGUAGAUAUUGGAAAGAACACCGGUGGCGAAGGCGGCAACCUGGUCUUUAACUGACGCUGAGGCGCGAAAGCGUGGGGAGCAAACAGGAUUAGAUACCCGCGUAGUCCCUGUCUCUUAUAC
This 301-nucleotide ribosomal RNA is filed under the name uncultured bacterium. RNAcentral's name for it is "partial 16S ribosomal RNA". It matches the Rfam family "Bacterial small subunit ribosomal RNA", at positions 509 to 807 of the family's 1533-position model. The record is from RNAcentral.